Molecule: ribosomal RNA, 468 nt
Filed under: uncultured bacterium
Lineage: Bacteria
Description: partial 16S ribosomal RNA
Rfam family: Bacterial small subunit ribosomal RNA
Source: RNAcentral
GACGAACGCUGGCGGCGUGCUUAACACAUGCAAGUCGAACGGAAAGGCCCUGCUUUUGUGGGGUGCUCGAGUGGCGAACGGGUGAGUAACACGUGAGUAACUUGCCCUUGACUUUAGGAUAACUUCAGGAAACUGGGGCUAUUACCGGAUAGGAGCUCCUGCUGCAUGGUGGGGGUUGGAAAGUUUCGGCGGUUGGGGAUGGACUCGCGGCUUAUCAGCUUGUUGGUGGGGUAGUGGCUUACCAAGGCUUUGACGGGUAGCCGGCCUGAGAGGGUGACCGGCCACAUUGGGACUGAGAUACGGCCCAGACUCCUACGGGAGGCAGCAGUGGGGAAUAUUGCACAAUGGGCGGAAGCCUGAUGCAGCAACGCCGCGUGCGGGAUGACGGCCUUCGGGUUGUAAACCGCUUUCGCCUGUGACGAAGCGUGAGUGACGGUAAUGGGUAAAGAAGCACCGGCUAACUACGUG